CCCUUAGAUGCUCUGGGCCGCACGCGCGCUACACUGGUCGAUGCAACGAGUUUCUUUCCUUGGCCGACAGGCCUGGGCAAUCUUUGAACAUCGAUCGUGAUCGGGAUAGAUUCUUGUAAUUUUUGAUCUUAAACGAGGAAUUCCUAGUAAACGCAAGUCAUCAGCUUGCAUUGAUUACGUCCCUGCCCUUUGUACACACCGCCCGUCGCACCUACCGAUUGGAUGAUCCGGUGAGCUAUUCGGACUUUCGCAUUGUCGAUUUUCGGCUUUACGAGGGAAAGUCUCGCGAACCUUAUCAUCUAGAGGAAGGAGAAGUCGUAACA
This 323-nucleotide ribosomal RNA is filed under the name uncultured eukaryote. RNAcentral's name for it is "partial 18S ribosomal RNA". It matches the Rfam family "Eukaryotic small subunit ribosomal RNA", at positions 1470 to 1796 of the family's 1831-position model. The record is from RNAcentral.